RNAcentral lists this ribosomal RNA (468 nucleotides) under uncultured bacterium. Its description in RNAcentral is "partial 16S ribosomal RNA". It matches the Rfam family "Bacterial small subunit ribosomal RNA", at positions 28 to 507 of the family's 1533-position model. The record is from RNAcentral.
GACGAACGCUGGCGGCGUGCUUAACACAUGUAAGUCGAACGGAAAGGCCCUGCUUUUGUGGGGUGCUCGAGUGGCGAACGGGUGAGUAACACGUGAGUAACCUGCCCUUGACUUUGGGAUAACUUCAGGAAACUGGGGCUAAUACCGGAUAGGAGCUCCUGCUGCAUGGUGGGGGUUGGAAAGUUUCGGCGGUUGGGGAUGGACUCGCGGCUUAUCAGCUUGUUGGUGGGGUAGUGGCUUACCAAGGCUUUGACGGGUAGCCGGCCUGAGAGGGUGACCGGCCACAUUGGGACUGAGAUACGGCCCAGACUCCUACGGGAGGCAGCAGUGGGGAAUAUUGCACAAUGGGCGGAAGCCUGAUGCAGCAACGCCGCGUGCGGGAUGACGGCCUUCGGGUUGUAAGCCGCUUUCGCCUGUGACGAAGCGUGAGUGACGGUAAUGGGUAAAGAAGCACCGGCUAACUACGUG